This is a long non-coding RNA of Passer domesticus (house sparrow), 1116 nucleotides long. RefSeq lists it as uncharacterized. The record is from RefSeq and is a predicted model, not a curated record. The transcript has 4 exons. NCBI's taxonomy places the organism in Eukaryota, Metazoa, Chordata, Aves, Passeriformes, Passeridae.
GAGGAUCUCCUGCAGUGCCACAGGAGCUCUUCUGUCCUGCCUUUCUUUGCAGCUGAACCUGCCGGUGAAGACCCCACAUCCAGGACUGAGGCUCUGGGAGAUGCUGAGGGUGUGUCUGCAGGGAGGACUUCUCAGGCUCCAGGGCUGGAUGCUUGGCCCCAACCCAGCUCCCAUGGCAGGGGUGAGUAGUGUGUCGCUUCUGACCUCACAGGCUGAGCCCUGCUUUUGUGGGAUCCAUUCCUGGGAAAUGGAACUACUUUCUCUUAAGGUCCUCCAAAAGGAAAGACCCAAGAUACUGCAGCCAAAACAUCUCAUGAGGCAGAUGAAUUCCUGAGACAAACACAGAAGCAAGCACCCGGAGGACAAGAUGCAGCCGGCAUCACAAGACCUGUUCCCAAUGCCCAGGAUGGCCUCGGAAGGGGUUUCUGUCAGGGAAGAGGCUGCUGGCUAGGGUUACUGGCAGGCGUGCUUUCUUUGGAGCUUGUCUUCAUGUUGUGCUGCUUUGGAAUCGGGUAUUCUUGGAACAGAAAACAGAGCACCUCUCCCACUUCACAAGACCAGCCUAAUACCUCAGCCAUGGAGAACUUGGCCUGUCAUCAUGCAUCUCCGUGCCAGUGUCCGUUGUCCUUACCACAGGUGUAUUACCAGCUUGUAGCUGGAAGUAUGCUACAACCACUGCCUAGAACAGAUCCGUCUCUCCCUGAAGGGAAUGACCUAGCUGCCCAUCCAGGAUAGGAGGUGCAGCCCUCUAGCCAGGGAAUGGAUUAUUCGAAAAGUUAUAUUUACUUGUAAAAAUUUUAGAUGUUUAUUAAAAACCUUAUUAGAAAUAUAACAGGACACUGAAUAAAGACAAUGUUACUGUGCCGGGAGUAGAGGAUUUUUCCCACCACAUUCUCAUGCACGCAAUGGAGGUCUCACCUUUUAACUCUUUUGCCCUUCUUAAAGUUCUGUCUAUCGACUCCUUCUUUGAUGUCCAGUGCUGGAGUUUACUUCCUUACAUCUCGAUUGGAGGUCAGGUGCUGCUGUCGUAGCAAGGUGACCCUCUUAAAUGUCUCAAACUCAGGUAAUCCCAAGAUAACAACACAACAGGGGGUAAAACAUAUCUAUAUAUAUAUA